GAAACAUAUACAGUAGGUUUUAUUUACAGGUGAGCAGUGUGAGCUGGGACAGUAAUCAUUUCUCGACAAAUGCAAUGUUCCAACAUUUAGUUUCAUUAAAAAAAAUUAUCUGCUCUCCUCGACUAGUGUUUGUACAAUUUAUAGCUUUUUCAGACUGAAGAAAUCUCAUUAGCCUAAUUUGAGUUUUAACAUGGGAAUGUCCUAUAGCCUGAUCCUCCACAUAGGCGCUGGAGAGGGUUCAGCUCUGAAGUCUGUAGGUGUCGCAACAGGUUACACAUGCUCUUAACAGGACAUUGACAACUUCACUUACGACCUUGCUGACCUGAAGCCAGUUUCUAACUUGGAGUCUGACUUUGUUUUCCCUCCCCUGACUAAUGUUAACAUGAACUAUCUAGCCAUGUGUGAAAAACAAGGUAUGUACUACAACUAGAGACGAGCUCAUGGCUCUAUAGGUAAUUUUACUUUUCAACCUUUUUAAGAAAAUACAAUAAAAAAAUGUGGUUUCUUCAGGCAACAUAACCACUGACUACUUAGUUUUUGUAUCUGCAGAUCCCUGUGAGUAGAUGCACUGUGGACCUCACAGGCUGUGUGUAAAGAAUGACGGAAAGCCUGUCUUCGCUUCAGAGUCUAACAUCUGCUCUGUAUAGGGGAUUCUUACUACCGCACCUUCGUCAGCAGUAACACUUUGCCGUGAUUGUGGCUAGUACAUGUCCAUACUGUCUUGUUGCUUUUGCAGAUCAAUAGUCAGCAGAGGAACCUGCCCCUAGCCCUGGCCGCCGGCUCACUGCCUUUAAACCCUAGCAGCUCCAGCGUUGUCUUGGAAACAGACUUUGGCCUGAUGCUGCGGUAUGACUGGCAUCACAACCUUGAAUUGGAAGUGGCACCGGAGCUGUCUGGUUCACUGUGUGUUCUCUGUGGAAACUACAGCCACAAUGCAACUAAUGACUUUGCCACCCCUGAUGGAACUGUGGCGGCUGUGGACUUUGCGCUUCGCUGGAAAGUGGACUGCGGCGCCUCAUGUCCUGUGUGCAGUACAGGCCAAGUGAACUCUAAACCUGCAUUGGGUUCGGUUUCAGGCUGCUGCAGAGCCACGUCCAUGUUGUUCUUGAGGACCUCUGCAGCUGCAAGGCUGACCAAUGUGCUGCUGAUGGAGCUCCUUCUGCUGUCUGUAGGUCGAGGCAGGCCUACUCUGACAUAUGUCAGAGGCAGGCUACCUCACAGUGCAAGGAGGGCUAUCUGCUCAGUGGCAGCCAUUGUGUCCCAGGCAGCAGGUGUGGCUGCAGCCAUCAAGGUCUCUACUACCUCCCCAUGAGAUGUUCUGGAUGGACCGCCAGUGUCGGAAGCAGUGCACCUGCCAGCCUUUCUCCUAGAAUGUCACCUGUGUCCAGGCCCAGUGUCAGGAGGACAAGGUGCGCAAGAAUCUGGCUGGGCUACCAUAAGAAAGGGCUUAGGGUGUGCACAGCUCAAGGGGAUCGGCAUUACACCAUUUUUGACGGGAACAGGUGUGUCUUCCAAGGCACCUGUGCGUACCAGCUGGUGAGGCACUUCCCUAGCACGGGAGACCUGCCUGGUUUCAGUGUGGUGAUGCAGAACAUGAGGAGGACGACACCAACACUUCUUAUUCCAGAAGGGUCAAUAUUUUGGUCCAUGGUUACUCUAUUGAGAUCUCUCAUUACUAGGAUGAAGUAGUUGUGGUGAAUGGGAUUAUUUUGAGCCUUCCCUCAGUGUUGAGCCAAGGUAAAGUGAAGAGCUCUCCAUGUGUAUUGAGACUGACUUUGGUGUCCUGGUCACAUACAACUGGAACCUCCUGACUGUCCAAGUGCCCAGGGUCGUCUCUGGCUCACUCUAUGGCCUGUGUGGGAACUUCAACGCGGACCCAGAGGACUAUCUAACAGACGACGGGGACAUCUAUGGCUGUGAGGCGCUGGAAAACUAGUAACGUUGUUGAAUGUGUGGAUGUGACGACUGUGAACAAUCCCCAAUGCCCCAUCAGGAGCAGGCUCUCUAUUUAGGCAGGGACUACUGAGGGAGUGUUCCAGAACUGCCACGGGAAGGUCAACCCCAAACGCUGCCUUUGACAACUGUCUACGACCUCUGCUACAACAAUGACAAGCAGACUGCCCUGUGUCAGAUUCUCUCAAUUUACACCGCUGCUUGCCAGGAGGAAGGGGCAAACGUAGAUGAAUGGAGGCUUCAGAUUAUUGUGGUCUGUACUGUCCAGCCAACAUUGAAUACAACCUGUGCUCCAUCCCUGUGCCCAACAAUUGUGUGGCGUCUCGUGUAAACCUGGGUUCUUCCAUAGUGGUGGGAAGUGUGUCCCCAACACUGAGUGUGGCUGCCUCUGACGGUUUGUGCCACAAGAUCAAGGCAGUGUUUUACCCCCAUGAUCACUGCCAGGUUGCUUCUCUUGUCGGUCAUGGCUAGCUACCAUGCACUGACACCACCUGUUCCAGGUGAACAGAGUGUAGGAUCCAAAAUGGCCCCCGUGACUGCUAUCCAGCGCCAGUAUCAGGGAAGUGCAAAGUGGUGGGAGGCAUAUGAUGGGCAUAGCUUUGAUCUCCAUAUGGGCAUAUCAAGAAGCCACCAUUUCCUAAACCAGACAUAUGCCAAGAAUGGAGCAGAUACAUUUUCAUAUAUACAGCAAGGUCAGCUACACCUGAGGUACAAGGGACUGAAUGACUGUGGAACCGCAGCAGAGGGGGAUGGUUGAGGUCUGACCUUUGUCUCAAGGUGAAAAGGGCUUCCUGGAACCUUCCGGUCCACCAGGAGACUGUGCUUUCUGGUCUGACAACACAGGUGGAAAUGGACAAUAGGGCAGUGAUCACGUACGGUGGACCUGACUUCAUACAGCUGUUAUCCCCUCCUGCCUACGCUGGCAAGGCAUGUGGGUGGUGUUGAAACUUCAACAGCGCUGCUACAGAUGACACUCAGAUGGUCCGUGACGUUUUCCUGUCUGGGGUCAUUUGCCCAGAGUGUAACUGGACCUUGGCGGCUGAGUUCAAGUUGGAGCAUUUCUGUGGAGUCCUCUCAGCUCCUGCUGGCCUAUUCAAAGACUGCCACGCCACGGUAGACCCACAACCUUUCUUGGACAACUGUGUAAAGGCCCCUGUGUGUGUCUUGAAGGGAUAUGGCAAAGUACUGUGGAAGCCUGAAGGAUUAUUGGGGCGGCAAGGUAGCCUAGUGUUUAGAGCGUUGGACUAGUAACCGAAAGGUUGCAAGUUCGAAUCCCCGAGCUGACUAGGUACAAAUCUGUUGUUCUGCUCCUGAACAGGCAGUUAACCCACUGUUCCUAGGCCGUCGUUGAAAAUAAGAAUUUGUUCUUAACUGACUUGCCUAGUUAAAUAAAGGUAGAAAAAUAGAAAAAAAAAUGUAUUUUAUGAAGCCGCAGCCAAGGUCUAGCCAUGGAGGGGAGACGAAUGCUGUAAGUGGAUGAUGCAAGAUCCUUUCUGGCUUAAAACUGAAUUCAACAUGUAUUAUGUUUACAAAGACUAAAUGUCUUUCCCCUGCAUACAGCCAUGUCAUGCCCAGUGAACUCUCACUACAAGGUGUGUACCAAUGCCUGCCCUGAAACCUGUGCCAAUACUUCUGGUUUGGUCACCAGUCCUUCGACUUCUGUGGAUGGGUGCCAGUGUGAGGCUGGGUAAUGUGCUCAGUCAUGAUCACUGUGUCAAGCCUGAGCAGGGUGGCUGAUUCCAGACUGGAUGCUACUAUGAGGUGUGUGUGUGUGGAACAGGCAGAAGCAACGGUUUAAUGGUUCAGUCAGACUGGCCUUUGUAUUGUACUCCCAAAUUACUCUAUGUGUAGCUGGUUUGUUUCCAAUCCCAAACUAUACUGAACAAAAAUAUAAACGCAACAUACAAGAAUUUCAAAGAUUUUACUGAGUUACAGUUAAAUUGAAAUAAAAUUAAAUAGGCCCUAAUCUAUGAAUUUCACAUGACUGGGAAGGAGCGCAGCCAUGAGUGGGCCAUAGGCCCACCCACUUGGGAGCCAGGCCCACCCACUUGGGAGCCAGGCCCAGCUAAUCAGAAUGAGCUUUUCCUCACAAAAGUGCUUUAUUACAGAAAUAAAUUCUCCUUAGUUUAAUCAGCUGUCUGGGUGUCUGGUCUCAGAUGGAUGUGGAGGUCUUGGGCUGGCAUGGUUACAUGUGGUCUGCGAUUGUGAGGCCGGUUGGACGUACUGACACAUUUUCUGAAAUGAAGUUGGAGGCAGCUUAGGGUAGAGAAAUUAACAUCACGUUCUCUGGCAACAGCUCUGGUGGACAUUCCUGCAGUCAGCAUGCCAAUUCCGUGCUCCCUCUACAAACAUCUGUGGCAUUGUGUUGUGACAAAACUGCACGUUUUAGUAGCCUUUUAUUGUCCCCUGCACAAGGUGAACCUGUUUCGUGCUGUUUAAUCAGCUUCUUAAUAUGCCACACCUGUCAGGUGGAUGGCUUAUCUUGGCAAAGAAGAACUGCUCACUAACAGGGAUGUAAACAAAUGUUUUCACAAUCUGAGAGAAACAAGCUUUUUGUGCAUAUAGAACAUUUCUGGGAUCUUUUUUUCAGCUCAUGAAACAUGGGACCAACACUUUACAUGUUGCGUUUAUAUUUCUGUCCAAUAUGUAUUUUCUGGGUUGUAAUGAUUGGUGCAUUUCCAAACCUUUCCAAAGUGACCAGAUCAUUUGACUGUUUUAUCAUGUUCCAAGACUAGAGGUUUGAUUACUCUGAGGGUGUAGUCAGUAAUGACACAUUGUCACAUUUAUUAUGACACAUUAUUUAUCAUCAAUUCCCAAACCUGAAUUUAUGCAGCUGUAGUCCCUGACAUGUUGCCACAACUACACCACAGAUCAAAAUGUGCCAUGCUUCAUCUAGCCCAGGCUGUCACAAACAGCCCAAUGAUUUAUGUCUUAACUGUAUGUUAGUCACUACACCUGUGUACAGGGCUUGACUAAUCCCAAAACCUUUGUGGGGUGUCAGUUGGAGGGGGGGUUGUAUAACGAACACACACUGACUCAUUGUGCUUCUGCAGAAGGGGGAGGUUUCCUGGUUGGAUGGGUGCUCAUGUUCCGCCCCUGGCUCCCUGCGCUGAGAGGCUGCCUCUGCCCUAAGGGUCGAGCUGCACCCUUCUUGACUGUUCCUUGGGCUGGGUUGGGAAAGGUAAUCACUGCCCCGCUGGUCAGCUGGAUUCUCUGACACACCCAGAAGCUCCAAAGUUACCAAACUUGGAGGGCUUGGUUGUUUAUUUGAACUAAACCACUUCUCUGAUUAGCUUUUUUUGAGUUGUGGUGUUGUACCACUGAAGAAAAAUGUAAAGUGUUGGUUCCAUGUUUCCUGAGCUGAAAUAAAAGUUCCCAGAAAUGUUCCAUACGCACAUUUUGUGACACUUGUUUACAUCCCUGUUAGUGAGUAUUUCCCCUUUGCCAAGAUAUGCCAUACCUGUCAGGUGGAUGGAUUAUCAAGAAGCUGAUUAAAAAGCAUGAUCAUUACAUAGGUGCCCCUUGUGUUAGGGACAAUAAAAGACCACUCUAAAAUGUGCAGUUUCGUCACAUAACACAAUGCCACAGAUGUCUCAAGUUUAGGAGUAUGCAAUUGGAAUUUUGACUGCAGAACUGUCCACGAGCAGUCGACAGAUAAUUUAAUGUUCUCUAUCAUAAGCCACCUCCAAUGUUGUUUUAGAGAAUUUGGCAGUCCAACCGGCCUCACAACCGCAGACCACGUGUAUGACGUUGUGUGAGCGAGCGGUUUGCUGAUGUCCACGUUGUGAACAGAGUGCCCCAUAUUGGGGUUAUGGUAUAAACUAAGGCAUAAGCUACGGACAACAAACACAAUAGCAUUUUAUUGAUUGUCGAUUUGAAUGCACAGAAAACCAUGAUGAGAUCCUGAGGGCCAUAUAAAAAAUGUUAAGGUAUAUCUGUAUUCCCAGUCAUGUGAAAUUCAUAGAUUAGGGCCUAAUGAAUUGACUUAAAUUGACUGAUUUCCUCAUGAGCUUUGUUUCAUGUUGCGUUUAUAUUUUUGUUCCGUAUA
Molecule: long non-coding RNA, 6001 nt
Organism: Oncorhynchus keta (chum salmon)
Lineage: Eukaryota; Metazoa; Chordata; Actinopteri; Salmoniformes; Salmonidae
Exons: 4
Source: RefSeq, a predicted model, not a curated record